Molecule: ribosomal RNA, 90 nt
Filed under: Ailuropoda melanoleuca (giant panda)
Lineage: Eukaryota; Metazoa; Chordata; Mammalia; Carnivora; Ursidae
Source: RNAcentral
GUCUAUGGCCGUACCACCCUGAAUGCACCUGAUCUCGCCUCAUCUCGGAAGCUAAGCAGGGCUGAGCCUGGUUAAUACUUGAAUGAGAGA